CAUAAGGACCUAAGAGCUAUGGUUCUGCAGCUAUAAAUAGUAAUGUUGGUUGAUCUAUUUCAUUUUAUAUAUUUUCAUGUGUAUGGUUGUAUAUAUAUAUUUAUAUUUCAUUUCAGAGUUCACUCACAGAUGUUUAAUUUGUAAUUUUGGAUUUUUGCCGAUUCAGCUUAGAGAGGAUGUUUCAGUCGUCGACCUUGAAUAUGGCUAACAGACCAGGGGGAGUGGCAUAUAGAUUUCCGUAACUCUAUACUAUAUACUCUAUACUCUUUAUAUUUUAUUUUUAUCACAGAUGGAGCUAAAUCUACUGUAAGCUUUUAAGAGAGCCUGCUUUGAUAGAAGUGACAACAAUAUUUCAAACAUCACUUAUCUUUAUUAUUUGUUUCCAUUACAGAGUUCUUACGGAGAUAUAUAGGUUACAAUAAUGUAUUUAUUAUUUCUGAUGGUCUUUAUAUGUCCUAUGUGUGUAAUUUUUUGUCUUAAAGAAAUAAAAUAUGGUAUUGACUAUUGAUUUCAAUGGGAAAAAACACACAGAAGAAAUCAACUUAAAUACCUGCAAAGACUAAUGGUAUGAUAUUAUACACCAUUACAUGUACAUUGGCCAGUUGAAUUCUUAUCAGGAUAAUUAAAACAAAAAUAAUUAAAAAAUAACUGUAUUAGACAUUAUUAAUGUUUUUCUAACAGUAGCCAUGUGAAGGGUGAGAACAUAUUUUCCAAGUCAGAAAACUGAAAACUAAAAGUUGUGAAAACAUCUAGCUACCCGACAGAGAAUUAUUUUACCAGUUUAAUAUUUAAAGAUACAAGUAUAUUAACAAGAUUUUCUAUUAAAAUGGCAAUAGUAAAUCCUGAUAUUGGAAUAGAACUUCCAAGGGGAGACAAAUUCAAUAAACACCAAGAUUUGUUAAUUCAAUGGGAGAUAACUCUGUAAAAUAUGCAGAUUUUAAUGCAGUUGAAAUUCAAAUCAUGAUUCUUUGACUUCUUUUUUUUUUCCAUCUUUAUAUUAAUUUUACACACUUAGGUGUUGAUGUUAUACUAUUGUGAACAUGUAGUAAAAAAUCAAAACAGUAUUUAGUAAAUGUUUAUGUUUACAUAAAUGGAUUUAUAAAAUAUAUAAUAAUGUAUUAAUUUUAAUUCCUUUUUAGGUUCUUUCUGUGAAAUGUUUUCAUGGUGUUGGGAAUAAGACUUUGGGGUCUAAUACAUCUAAAAGGAAGGUUAACAUCAUAGCUUGUCCGUAAGGAUUGAGGUUGGGAAUGGCCAUUGGAGCUGACUUUUAUGGUAACUUUAACUGUGGCUGCAUGAAAAUGAUUGGGUGACUGUACCAGUAAAGAAUGUAAUUCAGACAAUUUUUGUGAAUGUUUGAGAAAAUGUUUAUAAUUUUUUACAAAAAAAAAAUAGUGCAAAGAUUCUCCAUUUUCAACAAGAUUGUAAGUUAUAGAUAACUUAUUUUGAAUUUUAAAAUCUCUCAUUUAACCAUUAAAACCAAAGGAUAUAUUCAGGUAGCUCUACUCAUGUCCAUUCUUGACAAUUUUUUUGUCAUGCAUAUUGAUACUGAACUGGUUUUUGUCUCGCCUUGACGGAGUCAAAAAGCGAGACAUAGGUAUGCUGUUUCCGGCGGCGGCGGUGUCAACAAUGUAUUAGUUUGUGAUUAGGUCUAGUUUAUGGUGAACCACUAGUGGUAGGUCAAUGAUAUUUAGUAUGCAGUUGAAUUAGCAUUGGCACAUCUCAUUACCAUGGAGAUUAUUUGGCCCUGCCCCCUCAGUCAUGGUUUAUUGACUUUGAAACUUUGCUUAGUUUUCAUGUAUUAGUUUGUGAUUAUGUCAGUUUAUGGGGAACCACUAGUGGUAGGUCAAUGAUAUUUGGUAUGCAGUUGUAUAAGCAUUGGCAUAUCUCAUUUCCAUGAAGAUUAUUUUGCCCCGCCCCUUCAGUCAUGGUCUAUUGACUUUGAAACUUUUGCUUAGUUUACAGGUUAAUGUUUGUGUUUAGGUUUCUUUAAAGGGAAUGACUUAUGGAAAAGUCAAUGGCAUUUGGUAUGCAGUUGUAUUAGCAUUGGCACAUCUCAUUUCCAUGGAGAUUGUUUAUAGCCCUGUACCUUUAGUCAUGGUUCAUUGACUUUGAAUAUUUGCAUAACUUCCAUGUAAAAGUAUUGUUAUUUUAAUUUCAACAUUUGCAUUAUCAAAAUAACAAAUAGGCAAGACAUAUCUCUGUGUUAACAGUUUAUCGGUAUGUAUACUUUUGUUUUGAGUUCAUAGUUCAGAUUGUAUUCAUUAUUUUUUUCCCCUGUUGCUAGAUUUAAUUGGUACUUUGAAAAUUAAUUGAAAUGGACCACUUUUAUUUGAAGACCUACUCUCUUAGAUAUAUUAAUAAUGGUCCAUGUCUAGUCAAAACACUUCCAGAAGUUAAGAAUGGAGAAUCUUAAAAUAAAAGAAAAAAUGAAAUGUAUAUUUUGGCUUUCACCUUGUUAAAUAUAUAUCUUUUCCGAAUUUUUUCGUUUUUUUAUGCCCCUGCCAUAGGGAAAGGAGGCAUUAAGUGUUACCCUUGACGUCCUUCUGUCCUUUUGUUGUUCCUUUUGUCCCAUUUUUGUUUCCGCACUAACUUUUAAGAGUAAUGCCCCUUUAUCAGUUGGAAAGUUGCAAAUUUGGGCAGUGAGUCACUUACUUUUCUAGAGUUAUGCUCCUUUUUACAAUUUUUAAAAUUCCAAAGCUUGAGCAAGGGCAUCAUGUCCUCAGACACAUUCUUCUUUUAUUUUUUAGCUGAUUUUGAUAUAAUUUAUAUUUUUAUCAAUUGUUUUGUUCUGAAUAAUUAUACAUAUUUUUAUACUGUCUAAAGUAUACUUCCUGAGCAUUAGGUUUUGGACUCAGGUUUCCAACAUUUUCCCACUACAAAUUCAGUUUUUAAAGAAGUUUGACCAAGUUCACUCGUUUUAGUCGGUUGUCAUGGUUGUUCCUGGCAGGGAGAUUGUUGAUGAUAGAGAUUUUGUCAUUAUUUGGUAUUUAACUUAAAAUACAGCAUAGAAGCAUUUCAUCAAUUAUGAUUUUUAUGAUUAUCUUUUAUGUAUAUAUGCUUACAAUUUGUAUACAUGUAUAUUGUUUUAAAAAUCAUUAAAAUCUGGUGUCCAGACGAGCUGUCUGGGUUAUCAGCUACAUGAA
Mytilus californianus (California mussel) is the source of this 3143-nucleotide long non-coding RNA. RefSeq lists it as uncharacterized. The record is from RefSeq and is a predicted model, not a curated record. Lineage: Eukaryota; Metazoa; Mollusca; Bivalvia; Mytilida; Mytilidae. The transcript is spliced from 3 exons.